This 145-nucleotide unclassified non-coding RNA is filed under the name uncultured Hymenoscyphus. RNAcentral describes it as "sequence contains ITS2". Lineage: Eukaryota; Fungi; Ascomycota; Leotiomycetes; Helotiales; Helotiaceae. The record is from RNAcentral.
AUACCAACUCCUCUGUAAAGAGGGUCUUGGACUUCGCCUCUGGGCGGGUCUCAAAAUCAGUGGCGGUGCCUUGAGGCUCUACGCGUAGUAAUACACCCCGCGAUAGAACCCUUAGGGUAUCUUGCCAGCAACCCCCAACUUCUUA